AUCCUACCUUCUCUUAUAAGAGUCUCUUUAAGUUUACUAUUCAUUUUUGUAUCCUUAGAUUUCACACCACUGUAGCAAAAUUGGUUUGCAGUGCUUUUUCCUAUUUUCAACUUUUUAGCCCACCUUUUUUGACUAUUUAGCAAGAUAUUAUCUUUUACAUUUCGUAUUCUCCAAACCACCUGCACAUUUUUGCAGACUAUCAAUUCAAUUCGUAUCUCUCUUAUACUUCUCCAGUUUCAUUCUGUAUUGAAAACUCAAAACAAAAACAUUGAACUCCCCAACAAUUAUCCAUAAAAAAAGAGUUAACGAUAUAAUAAUUGCAACGACAACGAGGACGAGCGAGUUUAGUACUAGGUACGAGCAUUUUCUUAUCCCAAUGGAUUCUUCGAAACCAUCUGCAAAUCAAUUGCCUGGUUUUUGUAACAUUGAAAGCGUUCACGAAAGCAUAAGUGUAUCAUCUAAUGCAUUCAUUCAUCAGCAAAAAAGUCAAAGACAGGCAGACGGGAGGAAUUGAAGCCAAACCGUGUGCAUUGAUCAUCGUAGAAGAUGCUUAAUGGAACAAAGAAAUGAUCUUAAGCUUCUUGUUGCGAAUACUAUUCAUUUAAGUUACAUAUUAGGCAUUCUGGUAAGUUUGUAUUACUUUAUACUGGUAGAUUUUUUCAACAGUAUGUUGUAGAUAUGUACGUCUAGAUUGAAACUGCCAAGUUAUAUUAUUUUCGAAAGAAUUAGAAACAAA
Molecule: long non-coding RNA, 736 nt
Organism: Olea europaea var. sylvestris
Lineage: Eukaryota; Viridiplantae; Streptophyta; Magnoliopsida; Lamiales; Oleaceae
Exons: 3
Source: RefSeq, a predicted model, not a curated record